Molecule: ribosomal RNA, 492 nt
Filed under: uncultured bacterium
Lineage: Bacteria
Description: partial 16S ribosomal RNA
Rfam family: Bacterial small subunit ribosomal RNA
Source: RNAcentral
AGUGAACGCUGGCGGUAGGCCUAACACAUGCAAGUCGAACGGCAGCACAGUAAGAGCUUGCUCUUACGGGUGGCGAGUGGCGGACGGGUGAGGAAUACAUCGGAAUCUACUUUUUCGUGGGGGAUAACGUAGGGAAACUUACGCUAAUACCGCAUACGACCUACGGGUGAAAGCAGGGGAUCUUCGGACCUUGCGCGAGUGAAUGAGCCGAUGUCGGAUUAGCUAGUUGGCGGGGUAAAGGCCCACCAAGGCGACGAUCCGUAGCUGGUCUGAGAGGAUGAUCAGUCACACUGGAACGGAGACGAGGUCCCGACUCCUGAGGGAGGCACCAGUCGGGAAUAUUCGGCAAGGGGCGGAAGCCUAAUCCAGCCAUACCGCGUGGGUGUAGCAGGCCGUCGGGUCGUAAAGCCUUUUUGUUGGGAAAGAAAAGCAGCAGGUUAAUACCCCGCUGUUUUGACGGUACCCGAAGAAGAAGCACCGGCUAACUUCGUG